Molecule: ribosomal RNA, 446 nt
Filed under: uncultured bacterium
Lineage: Bacteria
Description: partial 16S ribosomal RNA
Rfam family: Bacterial small subunit ribosomal RNA
Source: RNAcentral
CCUACGGGAGGCAGCAGUAGGGAAUUUUCGGCAAUGGGGGGAACCCUGACCGAGCAACGCCGCGUGAACGAAGAAGUUAUUCGUAAUGUAAAGUUCUUUUAACAGGGAAGAAAGAGAAAUUUGACGUUACCUGAAGAAUAAGCUCCGGCUAACUACGUGCCAGCAGCCGCGGUAAUACGUAGGGAGCGAGCGUUAUCCGGAUUUAUUGGGUUAAAGGGUUGCGCAGGCGGAUUUUUAAGUCAGCGGUAAAAUCGUGGGGCUCAACCCCAUCCAGCCGUUGAAACUGGGGAUCUAGAGUGUGCGAGAGGUAUGCGGAAUGCGUGGUGUAGCGGUGAAAUGCUUAGAUAUCACGAAGAACCCCGAUUGCGAAGGCAGCCUGCCGAAGCGUUACUGACGCUGAAGCUCGAAAGCGCGGGUAUCGAACAGGAUUAGAUACCCUAGUAGUC